UGAGAAAGCAGGUUGUGGCGGAGGCGCCCCGCUCUUCCCAGCUCCUCUCCGGGGUCCUGCUGGCUGGUGGGGAGAAGCGCCCACCCGGGAGGCCUUUGCUGGCUCUCGGCAGAAGUUUGGAGUUGGAGUCACAGGGGCGAUUAACUCAUCGCUCUGCUCUUGGAAGGUUGCUCCUGUGCCCAGGACUUGAGGAUUCUGCAUCUGCUGAAUACUCCGGGCUGAGUUGAAGAGGCCUCUGGACCUCAGAACAGAUCUCCAUGGAGUGCUAAUAAGUCCUCUGCAAAAU
This 286-nucleotide long non-coding RNA is filed under the name Heterocephalus glaber (naked mole-rat). RNAcentral's name for it is "lncRNA (ENSHGLG00100035329.1)". The record is from RNAcentral. Lineage: Eukaryota; Metazoa; Chordata; Mammalia; Rodentia; Bathyergidae.